AAUUGUUCGCAAUGGGCGCAAGCCUGACGACGCAACGCCGCGUGGAGGAUGAAGAUUUUCGGAUCGUAAACUCCUGUCGAAUGGGACGAACAGAUUGCGGGUUAACAGCCCGCGAUCCUGACGGUACCGUUAAAGGAAACCCCGGCUAACUCCGUGCCAGCAGCCGCGGUAAUACGAAGGGGGCUAGCGUUGCUCGGAAUUACUGGGCGUAAAGGGCGCGUAGGCGGACAUUUAAGUCAGAGGUGAAAGCCCAGGGCUCAACCUUGGAAUUGCCUUUGAUACUGGAUGUCUUGAGUUCGGGAGAGGUGAGUGGAAUGCCGAGUGUAGAGGUGAAAUUCGUAGAUAUUCGGCGGAACACCAGUGGCGAAGGCGACUCACUGGCCCGAUACUGACGCUGAGGCGCGAAAGCGUGGGGAGCAAAC
This 422-nucleotide ribosomal RNA is filed under the name uncultured bacterium. Its description in RNAcentral is "bacterial SSU rRNA". It matches the Rfam family "Bacterial small subunit ribosomal RNA", at positions 360 to 773 of the family's 1533-position model. The record is from RNAcentral.